UAUAAAGAAGUAUGAUGAUUCUAUUAGAUGUGUGAAUGGAGAGACAGAGAAAUCUUCUCUCCAUUGUGAACUCACAAUAUUUAUUUGGCAAUAUUAUUCUGACUCUUUUGCU
Small nucleolar RNA from Papaver somniferum (opium poppy), 112 nucleotides. RefSeq annotates it as small nucleolar RNA Z266. The record is from RefSeq and is a predicted model, not a curated record. NCBI's taxonomy places the organism in Eukaryota, Viridiplantae, Streptophyta, Magnoliopsida, Ranunculales, Papaveraceae. The transcript has a single exon.